Molecule: ribosomal RNA, 824 nt
Filed under: Brevistachys ossiformis
Lineage: Eukaryota; Fungi; Ascomycota; Sordariomycetes; Hypocreales; Stachybotryaceae
Description: eukaryotic LSU rRNA
Rfam family: Eukaryotic large subunit ribosomal RNA
Source: RNAcentral
AUUGCCUCAGUAACGGCGAGUGAAGUGGCAACAGCUCAAAUUUGAAAUCUGGCCUCAGGCCCGAGUUGUAAUUUAUAGAGGAUGCUUUUGGUUAGGUGCCUUCCGAGUUUCCUGGAAUGGGACGCCAUAGAGGGUGAGAGCCCCGUCUGGUUGGAUGCCGAGCCUCUGUAAAGCUCCCUCGACGAGUCGAGUAGUUUGGGAAUGCUGCUCAAAAUGGGAGGUAUAUGUCUUCUAAAGCUAAAUACCGGGCAGAGACCGAUAGCGCACAAGUAGAGUGAUCGAAAGAUGAAAAGCACUUUGAAAAGAGAGUUAAAUAGCACGUGAAAUUGUUAAAAGGGAAGCGUUUGUGACCAGACUUGCGCCGACUGAUCAACCAGCGUUCUCGCUGGUGCACUCUGUCGGCUCAGGCCAGCAUCGGUUCGCCCCGGGGGAUAAAAGCUGGGGGAAUGUGGCUCCUCGGAGUGUUAUAGCCCCCAGCACAAUACCCUGAGGCGGACCGAGGUUCGCGCAUCGCAAGGAUGCUGGCGUAAUGGUCAUCAACGACCCGUCUUGAAACACGGACCAAGGAGUCGUCUUCGUAUGCGAGUGUUCGGGUGUCAAACCCCUACGCGUAAUGAAAGUGAACGUAGGUGAGAGCUUCGGCGCAUCAUCGACCGAUCCUGAUGUUCUCGGAUGGAUUUGAGUAAGAGCAUACGGGGCCGGACCCGAAAGAAGGUGAACUAUGCUUGUAUAGGGUGAAGCCUGGGGAAACCCCGGUGGAGGCUCGCAGCGGUUCUGACGUGCAAAUCGAUCGUCAAAUAUGAGCAUGGGGGCGAAAGACUAAU